Long non-coding RNA from Brachypodium distachyon (stiff brome), 1980 nucleotides. RefSeq lists it as uncharacterized. The record is from RefSeq and is a predicted model, not a curated record. Lineage: Eukaryota; Viridiplantae; Streptophyta; Magnoliopsida; Poales; Poaceae. The transcript has 3 exons.
UGUGUGUGUGUGUGUGUGUGUGUGUGUGUGUGUGUGUGUGUGUGUGUGGUGAGGAGCUUCAAGAGGAUUGAGGCGGAGAUGAACUAUAGUGUGCCGGCUGUUUUCUCUGUUUUGAGGUUGACAUGCAUUUCCUUUCCUAUUUUCUUGGUUGUCUUGUUUGCUUCAGUUUUCUAUCAAAUCUGAGAGAAAACCUUCGUUUAAUAAAAACAUUUAUUAGUGCUCACAUGCUAAAAACAAUCUGUGCUUACAUGAUAAAGUGAUUUAGCACAGAUGCUAAAAAUAAUUUGUGCUUACAUGAUGAAGUGAUUCAGCAUAUAGGGGAUCCAUCAGAGAUGGAUACGUGAUUAUGGGCCUAGUAAGAAGGUAAUGAUCCUUGUUAUAGGAAGAGAAUGAUUGUUUUGUUUUUCUUCAUGAAGGUAUGUAGCAGGACGUCCUUAUCAAGCCAAUAGAGAUCAGGUUCAGAGCCUUGAUCAUGGCAACUUGGAAAGUAGGAAUUGAAAGUAAAUCCAUCAUAUUUAUCCAGUAAGUGUUUCUGUAGAGAUUCUUGGCCAGCUUCACAAGCAUUUAUAAAUCAGCAAACAAAAUAUUUAUUUUCCCUAAGAAGACUACAUGAUAGCGUCGCACAUAUUUGAUUGCCUUUUGGAUUAGUGCCUAGCUUACAUGCUUGGUGGAGUAAGCGUACAUCAAAGAAAGGGUGAGCUGAACCAUGCUCAGUAUAUAAAAUACACUAAGCUCACUCAAUACUCUAAUUUUCAGGAGAAAAAUUGGCAAGUGCAAGAGGAAGGGGUAAAGAUGGUGGGGUCUAGAGGAGAAAAAUGCUGUCAAGAGGUCCAUAUCAUGGCCAUCUAAUGACUAGCAAGAGGGUGCCGUAAGGGGAAUUGGUCAGGUCACAGCUGUUUGGUUCCUUGGGUCUGCACUCUGCAGCACUUGGUGUCACCCAAGGUAAGUUCACAGCAUCAAAUUCCUCUCUUUUUUCACUAGUAUAUUUAGAGAACACAAGUUUUUAGAGAUUUCAGUAGAGCAAAGGACAAAUUCAGAGAACAGUUUUCAAGCCGAACUGAAAUAAAUCAUGCUAGCUUGAUAGCAUGCUAGUUCUCCGGAUCAUACAGCCAAGUACUUCAUAUUUCCACAAACGAACACAAAAUCUGAACCAAAACUCAUGUUACAGUUUUGUAGAUCUGAAAUUUCUCAGUGAAUGCCUCAUGGCUACUGUUUUGUACAAGUUCUGUUAUAUACAUCUACAUAAAUUGGUACAAAAAAGAGUGUGUUAUCUUUUGAAAGUAAAUUAAUUAAGUGGAUCUGCUACUAUUCUGUUUUUGUAUGAUUUGGUUCAUUGUGCUAUUUCUCUGCUGUGAUGUACCUAGAUAUGAGAAAUGGCUGUUUCUUUUUAUGUAUGUGUGCUAUAUAUAUCUAGUGCCCUUGCUUUGUUUGCGCGGUCGAUUGAAGAUGGGGAGAAGUGGAUUCACGGAUGAAGGUGGCGCAUCGAUGAUGUCAUGGCUUCAUGAUUCCGCUUCGUGCACGUCGAGCCAGCAGAAGUGGUACGACGCUGCAUUUCAAGACCCAGCUUAUUUACGCUACCUAGAAGGUGAUUUGCCCAGGAACGCAGUGGAGGCAGAAGCUGAAGUAGCCGCAUUGGAAGAAAAGUUACUUCAAGAGAAGAGGAAGAACAAGAGCUGAGCGAUGAAUGUUUGGCAUUUGAGUUUGAGUUGGCAGCGCAAGAUCAAGUAAUUGAGGAGCUGGAAGGGAAGUUGGAAGCUGAGAAGAAGAAGAAUGAAGACCUCAAGUCCUUUGCAUUUUCUGGCAUUAGUGUAGCUGUCACCAUAUUAGCAGUGUUGGCCUGUGUGUAUGAUCUGUAAGAUUUGAUCUUGUUGUCUGUGAACUGUGAAGUUGUGUUCUGUUAGAUUUGAUCAUGUAGCUGUUUGAACUGGCCUGUGUGUAUUCAUGUUAUCAGUGAAGUGAAAAUUUGACACCUUUUCAAAA